RNAcentral lists this ribosomal RNA (253 nucleotides) under uncultured bacterium. RNAcentral describes it as "partial 16S ribosomal RNA". It matches the Rfam family "Bacterial small subunit ribosomal RNA", at positions 524 to 776 of the family's 1533-position model. The record is from RNAcentral.
GACGAGGGGUCCAAGCGUUGCUCGGAAUCAUUGGGCGUAAAGCGGGUGUAGGCGGCUUUGUAAGUCAGGAGUGAAAGCCCUGGGCUCAACCCGGGAAGUGCUCUUGAAACUGUAAAGCUUGAGUGUAGGAGAGGGCAGUAGAAUUCCUGGUGUAGUGGUGAAAUACGUAGAUAUCAGGAGGAAUACCUGAGGGGAAGCCGGCUGCCUGGUCUAACACUGACGCUCAGACCCGAAAGCGUGGGGAUCAAACAGG